CUAAGACCGCAUAAGCUCCCGGUGGUUAGAGGACGGGGAGAAAAGGCGCAAGCGGCUUGCGGAGCGGGCUGCGGACCAUCAGGUAGUUGGUGGGGUAAAGGCCUACCAAGCCGACGACGGAUAGGGGGUCUGAGAGGGUGGUCCCCCACACUGGGACUGAGACACGGCCCAGACUCCUACGGGAGGCAGCAGUGAGGAAUAUUGGUCAAUGGGCGCAAGCCUGACGCAUCAACGCCGCGUGUGGGAAGACUGCUUUCGGGUUGUAAACCACUUUCAGGGGGGACGAAGCUUCCGAGGUUAAUAGCCUACGGGGUGACGGUACCCCCAGAACAAGCCCCGGCUAACUUCGUGCCAACAGCCGCUGUAUACGAAGGGGGCUAGCGUUGUUCGGAAUUACUGGGCGUAAAGCGCACGUAGGCGGACUAUUAAGUCAGGGGUGAAAUCCCGGGGCUCAACCCCGGAACUGCCUUUGAUACUGGUAGUCUCGAGUCCGGAAGAGGUGAGUGGAAUUCCGAGUGUAGAGGUGAAAUUCGUAGAUAUUCGGAGGAACACCAGUGGCCAAGGCCGCUCACUGGUCCGGUACUGACGCUGAGGUGCGCAAGCGUGGGGAGCAUACAGGAUUAGAUACCCUGGUAGUCCACGCCGUCAACGAUGGAAGCUAGCCGUUGGCAAGUUUACUUGCCGGUGUCGCAGCUCACGCGUUAAGCACUCCGCCUGGGGAGUACGGCCGCAAGGUUGAAACUCACAGGAAUUGACGGGGGACCGCACAAGCGAUGGAGCAUGUGGUUUAAUUCGA
This 796-nucleotide ribosomal RNA is filed under the name uncultured Alphaproteobacteria bacterium. RNAcentral describes it as "bacterial SSU rRNA". It matches the Rfam family "Bacterial small subunit ribosomal RNA", at positions 163 to 954 of the family's 1533-position model. The record is from RNAcentral. Lineage: Bacteria; Pseudomonadati; Pseudomonadota; Alphaproteobacteria.